Molecule: unclassified non-coding RNA, 298 nt
Filed under: plant metagenome
Description: partial contains small subunit ribosomal RNA and internal transcribed spacer 1
Rfam family: Eukaryotic small subunit ribosomal RNA (bases 1-54)
Source: RNAcentral
GGAAGUAAAAGUCGUAAUAAGGUAUCCGUAGGUGAACCUGCGGAUGGAUCAUUAUCACGUGACCCACGUUUAGCUCACCGUGAACCGUAUUUACCUUUAGAGAUUCGAAUUGAGUUACCGCUGGGGGAGGGAGAUUUGUUUCUCUUUUUUCUGGUGCAACAGUCUCUUUUUUUCUCGUCCAAGAGAUUUUUGGUGGAGACUUACUUGUAACUCGGCUAAUUCUAAAUCCAUGGGUGUGCCGACCGCGGAUACAUAAUUAGUUAAGUGUAGGAGAAGGUUCGGAUUAGUUGAGGUUGAA